Molecule: ribosomal RNA, 473 nt
Filed under: Iberosiro rosae
Lineage: Eukaryota; Metazoa; Arthropoda; Arachnida; Opiliones; Sironidae
Description: partial 16S ribosomal RNA
Rfam family: Bacterial large subunit ribosomal RNA
Source: RNAcentral
UACUUAUAGUCAGAAUUAUAAAGCAUUGCCUGCUCUAUGAUAAAUUCAAUAGCGGCUUAAGUCCUAAGGUAGCAUAAUUAAUUGCCUUAUAAUUUAAGGAUAGUAUGAAAGGUGAUACGAAUAAGUUCAAGUCUCAAAUUUGAAAUUUAAAUUUUAUUUUUGUGUAAAAAAGCACAAAUAAGCUUUAGGGACAAGAAGACCCUAAAAAGCUUAAUUUUAAGAUCAAUUUGAAGUUUAUUAAGAAAUUAGAUUGGGGCAAUUCUAAAGUUAAGUCUUCGGUUAACAAACUAUUUAUUAUAUAAAUAAGAGCCAUUAAUAAUGACUAACUGUCUAAGUUACUUUAGGGAUAACAGCAUAAUAAAAAUCUUAGAGUUCUAAUCUUCGAUUCUGAUUAUGACCUCGAUGUUGGAUUAUAAAUCUCCGUGGUGAAGAAGCUACAAAUAGAAAGUCUGUUCGACUUAUAAUAAUAUACA